This 305-nucleotide ribosomal RNA is filed under the name uncultured bacterium. RNAcentral's name for it is "bacterial SSU rRNA". It matches the Rfam family "Bacterial small subunit ribosomal RNA", at positions 335 to 657 of the family's 1533-position model. The record is from RNAcentral.
CUCCCUACGGGACGCAGCAGUGGGGAAUAUUGCACAAUGGGGGGAACCCUGAUGCAGCGACGCCGCGUGGGUGAAGGAGUAUUUCGGUAUGUAAAGCCCUGUCAGCAGGGAAGAAAAUGACGGUACCUGAAGAAGAAGCCCCGGCUAACUACGUGCCAGCAGCCGCGGUAAUACGUAGGGGGCAAGCGUUAUCCGGAUUUACUGGGUGUAAAGGGGGCGCAGACGGCGAUGCAAGCCAGGAGUGAAAGCCCGGGGCCCAACCCCGGGACUGCUCUUGGAACUGCGUGGCUGGAGUGCAGGAGGGG